GGUAAAUCUCAUCUAAAGCUAAAUAUUUGGUAAGAGACCGAUAGAAAACAAGUACCGUGAGGAAGAUGAAAAGAACUUUGAAAAGAGAGUUAAAAGUACUUGAAAUUGUUAACUGGGAACCGCUUAAAUUCUAAUCUCUUAAUUCUAUUAAAUCAUCUUCUUUAAAGGUGUAUCACAUUAAAUAGAUGUAACUCAGUUACUCUAUGAGUGGGUGAAGUCAGAGAGGAAGUGCACUUUAGUAGAAUUAUAAUCAACAUGAAUUUUAAGAAACUUAGAAAAAUAGAAGAAAGGUAGUAGUCUUAUCUUCGGGUAUUACUAUGUUAUAAUCUUUUAUUGAAUGAGUUACUUAAGAUUGAGGAAUCAAUGUACUCCUCUAUGGAUUGUGAUAUUAAGUUCAUGGAAGGGAUAAGGUAGC
This 415-nucleotide ribosomal RNA is filed under the name uncultured eukaryote. RNAcentral describes it as "eukaryotic LSU rRNA". The stretch from base 1 to 259 matches the Rfam family "Eukaryotic large subunit ribosomal RNA", at positions 298 to 664 of the family's 3401-position model. The record is from RNAcentral.